UAAGGAAUAUUGGACAAUGGACGCAAGUCUGAUCCAGCCAUGCCGCGUGAAGGAUUAAGGCCCUCUGGGUUGUAAACUUCUUUUAUAGGGGACGAAAAAAGGGCUUUCUAGCUCGACUGACGGUACCCUAUGAAUAAGCACCGGCUAACUCCGUGCCAGCAGCCGCGGUAAUACGGAGGGUGCAAGCGUUAUCCGGAUUCACUGGGUUUAAAGGGUGCGUAGGCGGGCAGUUAAGUCAGUGGUGAAAUCUUCGAGCUCAACUCGGAAACUGCCAUUGAUACUAUCUGUCUUGAAUACUGUGGAGGUGAGCGGAAUAUGUCAUGUAGCGGUGAAAUGCUUAGAUAUGACAUAGAACACCGAUUGCGAAGGCAGCUCGCUACACAAAUAUUGACGCUGAGGCACGAAAGCGUGGGGAUCAAACAGGAUUAGAUACCCUGGUAGUCCACGCCCUAAACUAUGGAUACUCGACAUAUGCGAUACACUGUAUGUGUCUGAGCGAAAGCAUUAAGUAUCCCACCUGGGAAGUACGACCGCAAGGUUG
This 541-nucleotide ribosomal RNA is filed under the name uncultured bacterium. Its description in RNAcentral is "bacterial SSU rRNA". It matches the Rfam family "Bacterial small subunit ribosomal RNA", at positions 355 to 896 of the family's 1533-position model. The record is from RNAcentral.